Molecule: ribosomal RNA, 397 nt
Filed under: uncultured bacterium
Lineage: Bacteria
Description: bacterial SSU rRNA
Rfam family: Bacterial small subunit ribosomal RNA
Source: RNAcentral
AUUGAACGCUGGCGGCAUGCUUUACACAUGCAAGUCGAACGGCAGCGGGUCCUUCGGGAUGCCGGCGAGUGGCGAACGGGUGAGUAAUAUAUCGGAACGUACCUUUCAGUGGGGGAUAACGUAGCGAAAGUUACGCUAAUACCGCAUAUUCUGUGAGCAGGAAAGCAGGGGAUCGCAAGACCUUGCGCUGAUUGAGCGGCCGAUAUCAGAUUAGCUAGUUGGUGAGGUAAAGGCUCACCAAGGCGACGAUCUGUAGCGGGUCUGAGAGGAUGAUCCGCCACACUGGAACUGAGACACGGUCCAGACUCCUACGGGAGGCAGCAGUGGGGAAUUUUGGACAAUGGGCGCAAGCCUGAUCCAGCCAUGCCGCGUGAGUGAAGAAGGCCUCGGUUGUAAG